This 217-nucleotide long non-coding RNA is filed under the name Elaeis guineensis (African oil palm). RNAcentral's name for it is "long non-coding RNA (EGUI_LNC001820)". Lineage: Eukaryota; Viridiplantae; Streptophyta; Magnoliopsida; Arecales; Arecaceae. The record is from RNAcentral.
AUUGAAAAUAAAGUUGCACAAAUCUAAACUUUGAUAAUGACAAUGCAAGCCACCAAUCAUAACUACUCGUUUCUAUAGCAGUACAUUGAGAUGAGCUUUCGAUGAAUGAAACCCAUAAAAAUGAGUAGUUGCGAAUGACUGUAUGCACGAUCAUAUGGUACAUGUUGUAUAGAAUUAAUCUGAUUUCUCAAAGAGAAACAAUCUAUCUAAUGGCAGA